This 2502-nucleotide long non-coding RNA is filed under the name Panax ginseng (ginseng). RNAcentral describes it as "long non-coding RNA (PGIN_LNC014750)". The record is from RNAcentral. Lineage: Eukaryota; Viridiplantae; Streptophyta; Magnoliopsida; Apiales; Araliaceae.
UUUUUCAUCAACACAGCAUGCACCCCACCCAUAACUUUUGACCCACAUCAGGUACGAACGUAUGCACAUGCAUAUAUACAUACAUAUGUGUACUAUAUAUAUAUAUAUAUAUAUAUAUAUAUAUACUUCAUCUGAUAAUUUUGAAUUUUAUCUUAAAAUUGAUAUAAUUUUAUUUGUAAGUUUUAGAAAUAACUAGUAUAAUAGAAUAUUGAAUUCGAUUCUUUGUAGUUAGUUUAUACUCAAUUGUUAUGGUUGUUUGUAUUAAUCAAUAUAAUAUUCGAUUGAUCGGUACUAGGUUAUCGACAAAAUUAAAUAUUUUAAUUUGAUUUUAAAUAUAGAAUUUUGUGCUGACUCCGUUGUAUCUCUAAUUUUGGAGAUGAGAUAUCUGUUUUUGGAUCGGUGUUCUGUUGGAAUAUGAACAUGAAAAAGAAAAUGACUAGUCGUAUUAAUGCAGUACUAUAUGAAAUAGGCUAAUGUUUAAUUAUGGGGACUAAGAUUUGGGAAAACGACUAUAUAUUAUAUUAAUACAUUCAAUUCACAUGCAUCUCAUAUCAGAUAGAUUUAAGAGUAUAGAUGUGUUAAUAAAUAUGAUGAAGCAGAGGUGAUCGAACAUGUUAGUUGAGCGAAUCUAAAUAGGUGUGCGCUGCAUUGGUAAUGAAUAGAUGUGGGAUGGAGUGUAGAAUUUCACUACACAUACCUAUGUUGCAUUCUCACAUAGAUAUUUUACUCCCUUGGUUUGACAAAAGAGUACGGUUUGAUUUUUUACCUAGCUAAUUUUAAAUUUUAAAAUUGGUGUGAAUUUAUUUGAUUUUGAUUAAUGCAAUAGUUACUAUAGAAAACUACAUAAAAAAAUAUUUUUAAGUUCAAAAUUAUUAUUUCAAAAGUUAUAAUAAACUUGUACCACAAUUUAAAUUUUAAAAGUUCACAUAUAAAGUAGGAUCAAAGCUAAAUGAGACUCUUUUUAUGGUAAGGACAGGGUAUAAUUUUAUACAUAUAUAGGUGCUUCAAAGUGUGUUUAAUGUGCGAUGUCAUCAAGUAGUUCUACAAAUUUUGACAAUUCUCAGUACUAGUCUAACCCUUAAUGUGAAUGAAGAGGACAUCGAUAGGGCUGAAAAUGAACUCGAAUGGUUCGAAAUCCAAUUUGAGAGCAACUCGAAAAAUUCGAGUGAGACUCAGAUUCGAUAAUUAAACGAGUCAAAUUCGAAACACUUUUGAUACUCGAACACUUGUAUGAGUAUGAGUUGAAAAUGAGUACCAUGUAUUGUUCGCUCAUUUAGGAUAUCGAAUUUUCCUUAUCUCAUUGAACCCUACUCGAUACAAGUUUGUUAAUCCUUUACUCAUAUAUAAUAUCGAUUAUACUCGAUUUAUUUAAUAUAUAGUAUUCAACAAUUAAAUACUUCGCAUACUCUUGAGAAGUGGAAGGGGGUUUUAUAUUUCUCGUACAUGUCCAUUAGUUGAUUCAAGAGUAAUUAUAUCGUCUCAUUAAUAUUUUACAAGACUCGAGAUCUAGCUUGAAGAGAUCUAAUUUAAACUAUUUCAAAUAAUUGACUGAGUUAGUUUUAUCUAUAUACAUUAUCACAAUAUAAUUGAUUCAGUCCGGAUUCGUGUAUGUCUCAAAUGCUCGCGAGUAGCUCGACUGAAAAACGAGUCGAGUCAAGUCAAAUUCGAGUACAAUAAAACGAGUCAAUUUCAAAUAUACUCCAAAUUGUAUUAAAAUCCGAGUACGAAUCCGAGUAUCUUUAAAAAGUUGAGUAGAAUCUGAACAAGAUACUCCAUCCCUAGACACCGGCUUGAAAUAAGUGUAGCUAAAAAUAAACAUCCCCUUGUUGCUGCCACUUAGAGUAGGAAAUAGUUUCAUUUAAAUGGUUUCUGGUAGUUUGCUUCAAACUACCCAAAAAAAUUCUGUAGAAAAAUGCAUAGAACAUAAGAUUUGCCGUACCUACUGUACAAGGCUCUCACAAAUAGCAAAAUUAUCAUCUAGCCAACCUUACCAAGAGUGUUUUUUAAAGAUUGUCGUUUUAGAAAUUUAUCUCUAAUCUUGGAAAAUAGGGAGGGAGUAUGUGUCUGCUUUUCAACCUCUUGUACACUUGUAUAUAACUUUUUCUGUAUCCACUUGUAUAUAUGUUCAUCUGGUCUAGGAUAGUUGUAUAAUUUCUCCAUGGAUUUUGGUAGUUGCAUGACCUCAUAUGAUUUUAUCUGCGGUUUUUGCAGGUCAGAAUGCCUAGUAGAGGCCGGACACCUACUCAAAGUUACUUCCCUUAUCAUAGAAAUCGUUUAUCUAGUAGAAGCUCAUCUGAACGAAAUUGGAGUAGGAGGCGAAGUAGAUCAAACUCUCAUCAUCACCCGCAGGAGGCGAAGUAGAUCAAACUCUCAUCAUCACCGCAGGAGGAAAAGAUCAAACUCUCAUCACCGCAGGAUGAGACGGUCAUCUAGUAGCUCAUAUUCUAGUUACUCAGAUUCUAGUAGCUCAGAUAUAGUAAGGGAGCAACCCAUACUAUACCC